AAGAACCCAACUGAAUCUGUGUGGGGGAAAUCUUCAAGUACUUCAACACUUCCAUAUCAAAUUCAGAUAGAUGCAACUACAGGUUUAUUAUGGUGAACAAACACUCAUAAAAAGGAAUAAAACACCUUUUAAAGGUGUUGCAUAUCUUUUUCUCAAGAUCCACUAGAAGGACCAACCGAUCAUAAGGGCGGACGACCAUGAUGGUCUUCG
This 210-nucleotide long non-coding RNA is filed under the name Lathyrus oleraceus (garden pea). RNAcentral describes it as "Pisum sativum (pea) long non-coding RNA (PSAT_LNC009476)". Lineage: Eukaryota; Viridiplantae; Streptophyta; Magnoliopsida; Fabales; Fabaceae. The record is from RNAcentral.